Molecule: long non-coding RNA, 386 nt
Filed under: Phascolarctos cinereus (koala)
Lineage: Eukaryota; Metazoa; Chordata; Mammalia; Diprotodontia; Phascolarctidae
Description: lncRNA (ENSPCIG00000034706.1)
Source: RNAcentral
UUCCACAGACAUGGACAGCUGGGAGUGGCUUGCACAAGAGCAUCCUGAGAAAUUCUCUGGAGUCAAGGGCAAUAGAACCUGGGUGCACAAAAACAAAAGAUUUGAAAAGAACAGAAGGACUUUAACCCAAAGGAAUAUCCACUUGAAAGCCAUGCCUUUACUGACCAGGACAUCUGGACCCAGUGAAUUUUUUAUACAGUGCAGAUUUGAAAUGAAUGUGAAACAUCUGUUUAGCAGUCCCACAAAUGGAUUUUACGUGGCUAGUAUAUUGAAUGUGAUAGGCUACCAAAUGUUUUCUGCAUUCUGUAUUUGUUCAUACACGUCUUUGCAUCCUUAGCAUUUUAUUCAGUUUUCUGUGGUAUGGAAUAAAAGCUGUCUCAUAUCCA